Pipra filicauda (Wire-tailed manakin) is the source of this 2170-nucleotide long non-coding RNA. RefSeq lists it as uncharacterized. Lineage: Eukaryota; Metazoa; Chordata; Aves; Passeriformes; Pipridae. The record is from RefSeq and is a predicted model, not a curated record. The transcript is spliced from 2 exons.
GGGCCCCGAGGAGGAAGGCGGAGGGCCCCGCGGAGGAAGGCGGAGGGCCCCGAGGAGGAAGGCGGAGGGCCCCGAGGAGGAAGGCGGAGGGCCCCGCCUGCCGCCAGAGGGCACCCGCGGCCUCCGCCGCUCCGCUCGGCCCGGCUGUGCUGCAGGCGUGAGGGAAAGGUGCGCGCUGUCGGUACCAGGAGGGGAAGGGAUUUGAAAAUCCUGUCUUGUUCCUGCUAUUUAGCUGCAAUCGGGUGGCACUGGAAAGCUAGUCUUGGCCAGCGUGCUGUUACAAGCUGCUGUACGUCCGUACGAAACAAAGCGGGUGGGUGGUAGGUGGCAGCUUUCAGUGCUGAGCGCGGUCGAAAUAAAUACUCAACAACACAGGGGUGAAAGAAAGCUGGGUUGAAGUUAAGACAGCAAAGAAGAAAACCUACGAGUGACGCAAGGUUACUCACCACCUCCUACCAGCAGAGCGAACCUCAGCCAGUCCCUGAGCAACUACUUUUGGAAUUUCCCCCUUCCCCAGUUUUUAUUGCCGAAAGUGACGUUAUAUGGUAUGGAACAUCCUUUUGGUCAGCCUGGGUCAGCUGUCCCACCCCAGCCUCUUGUCCACCUCCAGCCUACUCGCUCAGGGUGCAGAGGGAGAAACAGGGAAGGCCUUGACCCUGUGCAAGCACUGCCCAGCAAUAGCUAAACCACUUCUGUAUUAUCAGCACUGUUUUGGACACAAAUCCAAAACAUUGGGCUAUAUGGGCUGCUGUGAAGAAAAUCGACUCCAUCCCCACUGAACCCGAUAGAGCUGGGAAAUGUUGUGAGAGACACUAUUAAUUCAGGUGCCUUGAGACAGAGGUACCAGAAGAAUUCAGAGAACAUACAGGCAAUUACAAAAAAAAAAGCACUCACAGAUUCCAGGCAAAAACUAGUUGGCACUAAAGGUAAAGCAAGAGCGAGCAGAAUAUUCAUUCAGCACUCAAGUAAGGAUAUCACCGGUGCUUUUCUCUAGAAGGAGUCAAAGAUCCUCAAACGCAUACCUUUGAUCAUAGGGCUUGCUUUUGAUCACAGGGAACAGCGCUGUGCCCUCGCAGAGGAUAUUAUAAUACCUCAGUUGGAUAUCAAAUAAUAACAGCUCUGAUACAUCUAAUGCUGGAACCAUUGAUUGUGAGAUUCCCAGCAAAGUGAUGGAACUAUCUGAAUGCAAAAUCUGGAUGGCAAAAGGUCAUGGAGUCCCAUUCAUCCAUUUCAGUUGCCCUUCCUUUCACGAGAAAUGGAAGUCCCCGGCUUCUUAAAUCCAUUGCUCUCAAAAGGCUCCUGGCUACAGUAAUGAAGAUGAAGAAUAUGACUCCUGAGGAAGGUGAGGAACUAUUUGGAUUGCUUGGUAUUUUUUUUCCUACCUCCCUUCUCCAGUAUAUUUCACCUCAGCUGCAAAGACAGCAUCCUGAUUUCAUCUCCAUGAGAAAAAAAAACUGAGUGGAGAAAGGUGUCUGUUUUGGUUUUUUUUCCUCAUUACCACUUUCAGAAUUUUCAAAGAAGACAGGUCUUUCACCAAGAAAUGCUUCAAGUUUUGAGCUAUGUGCAAACACUUGAGAAGCCAAUGAUCUGCUUUGCAGCAAAAGCGUAACUGAUAAGCACUUUCUGAGAAGUAAACCACCUGCAGUUUACACUGGAAACAAUGCUUGUGUUCCUUUCAUAAUGUUUUAUUACUUCUGAUGUUUAAUAUAAAUUUUUAGAAAUUUUUUCAGAACCAUAUAUGACCUUACUUCACUACAAGUGAAGGUUACAGAGAAAGGAUCUGGAUUCUUCAAGAGAUUUUUAGUAAGUGUUUUCCAGCUUAAAAUCCGUAUCAGAGUACAGAAGAAAACACCACAUCAGCAACCUGUAAUGAAUGUUGAAGACAGUGAAAGACAGUUGAGCUGUGAAUAAGAGGUACCUUAGUAACACCAGAGCUUUCAGCUCAUUUCUCUGUCACUGAAUUUAGCAGCAGAGUAAGCCUUUCAUGGCAUCUAAUGUUGUUCCCUGAACUCUGCUCUGUGCCCAGUCUACUUAAGCCUUAAAAUUCCAAGGGUUUUGUCGCUGUUCUUGGAGGGUGAUUUCCAUGCCGGUGUAUCCACUGCCAGAAAUUUUAUCCGGAGGUUCUGACUCAGGUUUGCCUUUUUUUGGAUUAAAUUAUUUCUCUUUCAAA